UACAGAGAGGGCAAGCGUUGUCCGGAAUGACUGGGCGUAAAGCGCGCGCAGGCGGUUUUUUAAGUUGGAUGUGAAAUCCCCGGGCUCAACCUGGGAACUGCAUUCGAUACUGGAAAACUAGAGGCCGAGAGAGGAAAGCGGAAUGACGAGUGUAGAGGUGAAAUUCGUAGAUAUUCGUCGGAACACCAGAGGCGAAGGCGGCUUUCUGGCUCGGACCUGACGCUCAGGCGCGAAAGCGUGGGGAGCAAACAGG
Molecule: ribosomal RNA, 253 nt
Filed under: uncultured bacterium
Lineage: Bacteria
Description: partial 16S ribosomal RNA
Rfam family: Bacterial small subunit ribosomal RNA
Source: RNAcentral